This 383-nucleotide ribosomal RNA is filed under the name uncultured bacterium. Its description in RNAcentral is "bacterial SSU rRNA". It matches the Rfam family "Bacterial small subunit ribosomal RNA", at positions 30 to 416 of the family's 1533-position model. The record is from RNAcentral.
AUUGAACGCUGGCGGAAUGCUUUACACAUGCAAGUCGAACGGUAGAGGGGGCAACCCCUUGAGAGUGGCGAACGGGUGAGUAAUAUAUCGGAACGUGCCCAGUCGUGGGGAUAACGUAGCGAAAGUUACGCUAAUACCGCAUACGAUCUACGGAUGAAAGCGGGGGACUCGCAAGAGCCUCGCGCGAUUGGAGCGGCCGAUAUCAGAUUAGGUAGUUGGUGAGGUAAAGGCUCACCAAGCCGACGAUCUGUAGCUGGUCUGAGAGGACGACCAGCCACACUGGGACUGAGACACGGCCCAGACUCCUACGGGAGGCAGCAGUGGGGAAUUUUGGACAAUGGGCGCAAGCCUGAUCCAGCAAUGCCGCGUGCAGGAUGAAGGCC